This 506-nucleotide ribosomal RNA is filed under the name uncultured bacterium. RNAcentral describes it as "partial 16S ribosomal RNA". It matches the Rfam family "Bacterial small subunit ribosomal RNA", at positions 30 to 523 of the family's 1533-position model. The record is from RNAcentral.
AUUGAACGCUGGCGGCAGGCCUAACACAUGCAAGUCGAACGGCAGCACAGAAGAGCUUGCUCUUUGGGUGGCGAGUGGCGGACGGGUGAGUAAUGUCUGGGAAACUGCCCGAUGGAGGGGGAUAACUACUGGAAACGGUAGCUAAUACCGCAUAACGUCGCGAGACCAAAGUGGGGGACCUUCGGGCCUUACACCAUCGGAUGUACCCAGAUGGGAUUAGCUAGUAGGUGGGGUAAUGGCUCACCUAGGCGACGAUCCCUAGCUGGUCUGAGAGGAUGACCAGCCACACUGGAACUGAGACACGGUCCAGACUCCUACGGGAGGCAGCAGUGGGGAAUAUUGCACAAUGGGCGCAAGCCUGAUGCAGCCAUGCCGCGUGUAUGAAGAAGGCCUUCGGGUUGUAAAGUACUUUCAGCGGGGAGGAAGGCGGUGAGGUUAAUAACCUCGCCGAUUGACGUUACCCGCAGAAGAAGCACCGGCUAACUCCGUGCCAGCAGCCGCGGUAA